This 562-nucleotide ribosomal RNA is filed under the name uncultured bacterium. RNAcentral describes it as "bacterial SSU rRNA". It matches the Rfam family "Bacterial small subunit ribosomal RNA", at positions 8 to 548 of the family's 1533-position model. The record is from RNAcentral.
AGAGUUUGAUCAUGGCUCAGGACGAACGCUGGCGGCGUGCCUAAUACAUGCAAGUCGAACGCAUUUUCUUUCACCGUAGCUUGCUACACCGAAAGAAAAUGAGUGGCGGACGGGUGAGUAACGCGUGGGCAACCUGCCCUGUACAGGGGGAUAACAGUUAGAAAUGACUGCUAAUACCGCAUAAGCGCACGAGGACGCAUGUUCUUGUGUGAAAAACUCCGGUGGUACAGGAUGGGCCCGCGUCUGAUUAGGUAGUUGGUGGGGCAGCGGCCUACCAAGCCGACGGUCAGUAGCCGACCUGAGAGGGUGACCGGCCACAUUGGGACUGAGACACGGCCCAGACUCCUACGGGAGGCAGCAGUAGGGAAUCUUCCGCAAUGGACGAAAGUCUGACCGAGCAACGCCGCGUGAGUGAAGAAGGUUUUCGGAUCGUAAAGCUCUGUUGUUGGUGAAGAAGGAUAGAGGUAGUAACUGGCCUUUAUUUGACGGUAAUCAACCAGAAAGUCACGGCCAACUACGUGCCAGCAGCCGCGGUAAUACGUAGGUCUCGAGCGUUGUCCGG